CUCUUCGGGGAUGAUUAAACCGGCGCACGGGUGAGUAACACGUGAGUGACCUGCCUUUUAGACUGGAACAACUUACCGAAAGGUGAGCUAAUGCCGGAUGAGUUAUAUAAGUGCAUGUUUAUAUAGGAAAAGUUGGGGAGACCUGACGCUGAAAGAUGGACUCGCGUCCCAUUAGCUAGUUGGUAGGGUAAUGGCCUACCAAGGCGACGAUGGGUAGCCGGCCUGAGAGGGUGGCCGGCCACACUGGGACUGAGACACGGCCCAGACUCCUACGGGAGGCAGCAGUGGGGAAUUUUGCGCAAUGCUCGUAAGAGUGACGCAGCGACGCCGCGUGAAUGACGAAGGCCUUCGGGUCGUAAAGUUCUUUCGACAGGGAAGAAAAUGCCUAUAAGUAACUGUGUAUGUAUUGACGGUACCUGUAUAAGCAGCCCCGGCUAACUCCGUGCCAGCAGCCGCGGUAAUACGGAGGGGGCGAGCGUUGUUCGGAGUGACUGGGCGUAAAGAGCACGUAGGCGGUGUUGUAAGUCAUUAGUCAAAGACUAGAGCUCAACUUUAGUAAGGCUAGUGAUACUAUAAUACUAGAGUAUCAGAGAGGAUUGCAGAAUUCCUGGUGUAGCGGUGAAAUGCGUAGAUAUCAGGAGGAAUACCGUUAGCGAAGGCGGCAAUCUGGCUGGAAACUGACGCUGAGGUGCGAAAGCGUGGGUAGCAAACAGGAUUAGAUACCCUGGUAGUCCACGCUGUAAACGAUGGAUGCUAGGUGUUGGGCUUUUAAGUUCAGUGCCGCAGCAAACGCGAUAAGCAUCCCGCCUGGGGAGUACGUUUGCAAGAAUGAAACUCAAAGGAAUUGACGGGGGC
RNAcentral lists this ribosomal RNA (855 nucleotides) under uncultured bacterium. Its description in RNAcentral is "bacterial SSU rRNA". It matches the Rfam family "Bacterial small subunit ribosomal RNA", at positions 76 to 920 of the family's 1533-position model. The record is from RNAcentral.